This 140-nucleotide ribosomal RNA is filed under the name Porphyridium purpureum. Lineage: Eukaryota; Rhodophyta; Bangiophyceae; Porphyridiales; Porphyridiaceae. The record is from RNAcentral.
GUCUUAGUGUUUAUAGCAUAAUGGAACCACUCUGAUCCAUACCGAACUCAGCUGUGAAACGUUAUAGCGGCGAUAAUACUGAAAAGGGGGCUUUUUGGGAAGGUAGCUCAAUGCUAAGACUAAAAAAACAAAAAUACCAC